Molecule: non-coding RNA, 1577 nt
Filed under: Betula luminifera
Lineage: Eukaryota; Viridiplantae; Streptophyta; Magnoliopsida; Fagales; Betulaceae
Source: RNAcentral
GGAUUCGAAUUACCAUCAACUCUAGGAGAAGAGCAAUAAUCAAACACCUAGAUUGGGCUUCGGUGCCGCCUAUCUGCCUUUUCAGUAAAGAGAAAGCAACAAGGGCCAGAGCUCCUAAAGCCGCCCACCCACAAGUUAGGGUGCUUCUUGGUUGGUUUGAAUUCCUCAAAGAAAGCUCCAAUUGUUGCAAUAAAUUCAUUUAUCAGCUGGGUUCUUGCAAUCUGGAACAGAACAAAUGUAUCAUCAGCCUGAAACGUUUCAAUAGCAAAUAAUAAAAUGGACCUUGAGACGUAAAUCAAUGUUGGCCAAAGCCAACAGCACGCGAAAACGGGCGUUGAAACGUAAAUAAAAAAUUACGGUCAUAACAAUCAGAUCAAAAACUUCUUUUGCCUCAGUCAGCAUCCCCUCUUUGCGAAGUGCGUCCGGCAAUAUGCUGACAGAGGCAAAAGAAGUUUUUAAUGUGACGAUGCUGUCGAGUGAGGAACGCCAAUUCUAUGAAACCUGAUGGAUAAGCGAAGAAACCCUCUUCUCUUCUCUUCUCUUCUAUUCGAUUCCUUCCUCCCGAGAUUGAUUGCGAGGGAAUGGUAAGCGCUCUUUCGUGGAAGAGAAGGUAGGGUGGGUAUUGGGGUUGGAAAGGGCAUCAAGCGUACAAACCCCCGCUCGCCCUGGGAAUGUCCUUUUAAUCCUUUAUCUUGAAAUCGGUUAAAACUUUUUGUCUCAAGUGCUCUUAAAACCUUCGUCUCAAAACUAGGCGUAAAACUUUUAAUAAUUUUCUUAAAAUUAUUCUUUGAAAACUGUUUCCUUAAAUUGUUUUCCCAAUUGUCGUGAAAAUCAAAUUGCAAAUAAAUGGACAUACAAAACUAUGCAAAGUGCAGUCUCAUAUACAAAUGAAAUAAUGAAUGGUUUUCUACUUACUUGCAUAUACAUGUUAAAAAACACAUCGAAUGUAAAACAUACUUAUUGUCGUUAGUAAGGGGAUUUACUUGCUUAAAUCCUUUGGCAUUGAGCCACCGUACCGUAUUGCCCGUCAUGUGCAAUUUACAUUUGUAUCGUUAGUCGUGGUUUAAUUUUUAAAUUCUAAAUCAUAUUUCAUAGUUAACAAUCUACUAAUUCACAUGUAGCAUUUCUCGAUUUUCUUGAAAUUAGGCUACGCUUCGCUAACUACUUGGUUGUUAACCUAUGAAAAUUUUCUUCAUUACAACCUCUUUAAAUUGUAAUGUUAAUUAGAGUUUCAAAUGAUCAAUAUCUUAUGUUUUACUUUACUCCUACAUCUUUUGAACUUCCUUGCAAAACCUAUUUUCCUAAAGGUCUAAGAGCUUCUCCCACAUUGGAAAGAAUCAUAUGACAAUUGUUUAAUUAAAGGUUUCUUAAAGUUGUUCCGUAGUUACAAUUCUGCAUCAUUAAAAUCCUAAACCAUAUCUUGAGUCUAACCCUCUCUGAUAUGUGUCACUUGAUCCUCUUCAAGUUAAUGCACAAUUUGUUAAGGUUUACACUUAUUAAAACCCUAAACCUUCACUUAAAAUCUUAAAACUUUAUUUCCCCUAGAGAAAAAUCAUAUUUUUUAACUUUGAGCAAUC